This 253-nucleotide ribosomal RNA is filed under the name uncultured bacterium. RNAcentral's name for it is "partial 16S ribosomal RNA". It matches the Rfam family "Bacterial small subunit ribosomal RNA", at positions 524 to 776 of the family's 1533-position model. The record is from RNAcentral.
UACGGAGGGUGCAAGCGUUACUCGGAUUUACUGGGCGUAAAGCGCAUGCAGGCGGUCUAGUUAGUCUGAUGUGAAAGCCCAUGACUCAAUCGUGGAAGUGCAUUGGAUACUGCUAGACUGGAGUACAGGAGGGGUGAGCGGAAUUCCUGGUGUAGAGGUGAAAUUCGUAGAUAUCAGGAGGAACAACGGUGGCGAAGGCGGCUCACUGGACUGUAACUGACGCUGAGGUGCGAAAGCGUGGGGAGCGAACAGG